GCAAUCCGACAGGGGAGCGCACAGCGCUGAGAGUGCGGUUCGUCCGCAGACCCUCGUACCUGAUCUGGGUAAUGCCAGCGCAGGAAGUUCGGUCUUCUCCAGCC
Molecule: non-coding RNA, 104 nt
Filed under: Actinoplanes regularis
Lineage: Bacteria; Bacillati; Actinomycetota; Actinomycetes; Micromonosporales; Micromonosporaceae
Description: TPP sequence
Rfam family: TPP riboswitch aptamer (THI element)
About the family: Vitamin B(1) in its active form thiamin pyrophosphate (TPP) is an essential coenzyme that is synthesised by coupling of pyrimidine and thiazole moieties in bacteria. The previously detected thiamin-regulatory element, thi box was extended, resulting in a new, highly conserved RNA secondary structure, the THI element, which is widely distributed in eubacteria and also occurs in some archaea.
Source: Rfam by way of RNAcentral